Molecule: transfer RNA, 67 nt
Filed under: Cicadellidae sp. 'Neodcortus squaras'
Lineage: Eukaryota; Metazoa; Arthropoda; Insecta; Hemiptera; Cicadellidae
Description: tRNA-Glu
Source: RNAcentral
AUUUAUAUAGUUUAAAAUAAAAACAUUUUAUUUUCAAUAAAAAAUUAAUAGAAUUUAUUUAUAAAUA